RNAcentral lists this small RNA (694 nucleotides) under Pongo abelii (Sumatran orangutan). Its description in RNAcentral is "retained intron". Lineage: Eukaryota; Metazoa; Chordata; Mammalia; Primates; Hominidae. The record is from RNAcentral.
GCUCGGCCUCGCACUGGGGGGCACGCAGCUCGGCCCCCGGUCUGUACCCACGCGCUGGGGCGGGCUGGGAUCCGUUUCCGGGAGUGGGAGCCGCCGCCUUCGUCAGGGGCACUAUGGCAGUCAAAGUUAGGAGGCAGAGGCCGAGGAGGCGAGUCUGUUGGGCCUUGGUGGCUGUGCUCUUGGCAGACCUGUUGGCACUGAGUGAUACACUGGCAGUGAUGUCUGUGGACCUGGGCAGUGAGUCCAUGAAGGUGGCCAUCGUCAAACCUGGAGUGCCCAUGGAAAUUGUCUUGAAUAAGGAAUCUCGGAGGAAAACCCCGGUGAUUGUGACCCUGAAAGAAAAUGAAAGAUUCUUUGGAGACAGUGCAGCAAGCAUGGCGAUUAAGAAUCCAAAGGCUACGCUACGUUACUUCCAGCACCUCCUGGGGAAGCAGGCAGAUAACCCCCAUGUAGCUCUUUACCAGGCCCGCUUCCCGGAGCACGAGCUGACUUUCGACCCACAGAGGCAGACUGUGCACUUUCAGAUCAGCUCGUGAGUGUUCUGUUGGGGAAGGUGGUCUCGGCAACGCUGCUGGGCUCCUUAUUGGUGUGUGUUCCUGAUUGUCCUGCCUUAAUGCCUGGCUUUCCUUGGCUCUAACUACCUUCCCUCCCCUCAGGCAGUUGCAGUUCUCACCUGAGGAAGUGUUGGGCAUGG